Molecule: ribosomal RNA, 261 nt
Filed under: uncultured bacterium
Lineage: Bacteria
Description: partial 16S ribosomal RNA
Rfam family: Bacterial small subunit ribosomal RNA
Source: RNAcentral
AGGGCAGCCAAGUCGUGAGGCGGAGCUAAUCCCUUAAAGCCAUUCUCAGUUCGGAUUGUAGGCUGAAACUCGCCUACAUGAAGCUGGAGUUACUAGUAAUCGCAGAUCAGAAUGCUGCGGUGAAUGCGUUCCCGGGUCUUGUACACACCGCCCGUCACACCACGGAAGUUGGGGGCGCCCGAAGCCACUUAGCUUAACCCUUUUGGGAAGCGAGUGUCGAAGGUGAAAUCAAUAUCUGGGGUGAAGUCGUAACAAGGUAAC